GAAUAGUUAGCUCAGUUGGUUAGAGCACUGGCUCCUUACGCCAGUGGUCGUGGGUUCGAGUCCCGCAUCGUUCG
This is a non-coding RNA of Leptidea sinapis, 74 nucleotides long. Lineage: Eukaryota; Metazoa; Arthropoda; Insecta; Lepidoptera; Pieridae. The record is from the annotation of a RefSeq genome assembly.